Molecule: ribosomal RNA, 1013 nt
Filed under: Anthostomella unguiculata
Lineage: Eukaryota; Fungi; Ascomycota; Sordariomycetes; Xylariales; Xylariaceae
Description: SSU rRNA
Rfam family: Eukaryotic small subunit ribosomal RNA
Source: RNAcentral
GCAAUUAUACCGCGAAACUGCGAAUGGCUCAUUAAAUCAGUUAUCGUUUAUUUGAUAGUACCUUACUACUUGGAUAACCGUGGUAAUUCUAGAGCUAAUACAUGCUAAAAAUCCCGACUCACGAAGGGAUGUAUUUAUUAGAUUAAAAACCAAUGCCCCUCGGGGCUUUCUGGUGAUUCAUAAUAACUUCACGAAUCGCAUGGCCUUGCGCCGGCGAUGGUUCAUUCAAAUUUCUGCCCUAUCAACUUUCGAUGGCAGGGUCUUGGCCUGCCAUGGUUACAACGGGUAACGGAGGGUUAGGGCUCGACCCCGGAGAAGGAGCCUGAGAAACGGCUACUACAUCCAAGGAAGGCAGCAGGCGCGCAAAUUACCCAAUCCCGACACGGGGAGGUAGUGACAAUAAAUACUGAUACAGGGCUCUUUUGGGUCUUGUAAUUGGAAUGAGUACAAUUUAAAUCCCUUAACGAGGAACAAUUGGAGGGCAAGUCUGGUGCCAGCAGCCGCGNNNGUAAUUCCAGCUCCAAUAGCGUAUAUUAAAGUUGUUGCAGUUAAAAAGCUCGUAGUUGAACCUUGGGCCUGGCUGGCCGGUCCGCCUCACCGCGUGCACUGGUUCGGCCGGGCCUUUCCCUCUGGGGAGCCCUAUGCCCUUCACUGGGUGUAGUGGGGACCCAGGACUUUUACUGUGAAAAAAUUAGAGUGUUCAAAGCAGGCCUAUGCUCGAAUACAUCAGCAUGGAAUAAUAGAAUAGGACGUGUGGUUCUAUUUUGUUGGUUUCUAGGACCGCCGUAAUGAUUAAUAGGGACAGUCGGGGGCAUCAGUAUUCAAUUGUCAGAGGUGAAAUUCUUGGAUUUAUUGAAGACUAACUACUGCGAAAGCAUUUGCCAAGGAUGUUUUCAUUAAUCAGGAACGAAAGUUAGGGGAUCGAAGACGAUCAGAUACCGUCGUAGUCUUAACCAUAAACUAUGCCGACUAGGGAUCGGACGAUGUUAUUUUUUGACUCGUUCGGCACCUUA